AAUUAAUUAGCUUAAGAAAGCAUAUGUUUUGAAAACAUAAAAAAGAUGUUAAACUCAUCUAUUA
This 64-nucleotide transfer RNA is filed under the name Gryllotalpa henana. RNAcentral's name for it is "tRNA-Ser". It matches the Rfam family "tRNA". From Rfam's summary of the family: Transfer RNA (tRNA) molecules are approximately 80 nucleotides in length. Their secondary structure includes four short double-helical elements and three loops (D, anti-codon, and T loops). Lineage: Eukaryota; Metazoa; Arthropoda; Insecta; Orthoptera; Gryllotalpidae. The record is from RNAcentral.